Oryza punctata is the source of this 194-nucleotide non-coding RNA. The record is from Rfam. Lineage: Eukaryota; Viridiplantae; Streptophyta; Magnoliopsida; Poales; Poaceae.
AGGAAGAACGCAUUUUGUGUUUUUUUCCUAACGUUUGACCGUUCGUCUUAUUUGAAUUUUUUUAUGAUUGGUAUUUUUAUUGAUAUUAGAUGAUAAAACAUGAAUAGUAAUUUAAGCAUGACUAAUUUUUGUUAAUUUUUUAAGUAAGACGGAUGGUUAAAUGUUGGAUACGGAAACCCACGACUGCACUUAAA